This is a non-coding RNA of Podarcis lilfordi (Lilford's wall lizard), 195 nucleotides long. Lineage: Eukaryota; Metazoa; Chordata; Lepidosauria; Squamata; Lacertidae. The record is from the annotation of a GenBank genome assembly.
AGAAGUUGUUGACAGAAGUCUAAAAUAUUGUAUAAGAUAAGAAGUUAUGUUAAAUGAUUGUUGGAAAUGAUAUGUUAAAAACAACAACAAUAAAAUGUGUGUGUGUGUGUGUGUGUGUGUGUGUGUGUGUGUAUGAUAUCCCAAUAGGGAGCCUGCAAGCAGGAGCCUGACCACAAGAGCUCUCUCUGCUUCCUA